Molecule: long non-coding RNA, 1049 nt
Filed under: Parus major (Great Tit)
Lineage: Eukaryota; Metazoa; Chordata; Aves; Passeriformes; Paridae
Description: lncRNA (ENSPMJG00000008045.1)
Source: RNAcentral
AUGAGGUGGCUCUUGGGCAGCAGCUUGAAAAAUUUUGGACAUGCUGACAGGGGAAACUACGACUGGCUAAACAGCGAACCAGGUGGGCCACUUCUGGAAACAGAGCUUCAGAGCAGACAACAGACAAGUUCAACCAAAGACGACAUAGAGCCAUUUCUGUGUAUCAUACUGCCUGCCACCAUGAUGCUCUUCCUGGCAUUCCUGCUGCUCUUCCUGUACCGCCGUUGCCAGCACCCCUCUCAGCAGGGGCAGAUCUUCAGCAUCGACCUUCCCGAGGCCCUGCCUGAGCACGAUGUGUCCAACUUCCUUUCUGCCCUGCCCUGGAGCACCGAGCAGAGCUUCCACUACUCAACGCUGCUCCCUGACGCCACAUUCCUCUCUGUGUGUUUGCCUCCAUCGUAUGAGGAGGCCACCAUGAAGACUUCCAUGGAAGAGGCUCACAUUGAGCUCUCUCCAGACCCAGUGCCUCCUUACGAAGAGAGCACGCUGCAGACCAGCAGCACCAAAUAAACUUCCUACGGAAGCACCUUAGCCGAAGCAUGCAGCACAAAGGUAGAACUGCUAUGGCCUUUAAAAUUUGUGAAAAGAUUCCAAAUGAGGCACAAAACCAAUGAAUUUAUAAAGGAAGAAACUUGAAGUAACAGGGAGUGCGUGUCUUCACCUCAUCCUAGGAUUCUCUACCUUCCAUUUGUGGCAAGUGUACACACGGUGUAGCACCAAAUCCAGUCCGAACACGGGGAUUCUAGUUAACAAACAUGUCAUGCAAGGAUUAAAUUUAAGGAAAGCUGGGAAGCUCUUCCUCUGUAAUCCCUCGGCUACAACAAAAUGUCAAUAAUGCUAUAGAUUCAGCAAUCAUAAAAAGGGCUUUUAGCACAUACAUAUUCCAGUUUGGGUUUUGUCUAUUUUAUGCGUUUAUAUUUAAAUGAGUUUUUGUCAAGAUGAGUCACUCAGUCUGUGUGUGUUUACAUCACGUCAUUCUGCAGUGCUCUGGAAUGAUCACAACAGCUCUCAGGAAAGCAAAUAAAUAUAUAACCUCUACAAAAUUUCCA